CCCAGAAGCCAGGUGGCCAGCCAAGGCAAGGGAGGAAGAAACCCCAGCUCCAGGGGCUCAGCAGGCAAAGGGAAUCACUGAGUGGGGGCACCACCCGUGGACUCCAAUAUCUCAACCUCUCCCUCCACAGGUGGGGAGCUGUGGGGAAAGAUAAUGGGGAGCUCAGCUGCCACCUCAGUUCCCAGGGACCGGCUGGGGUGGCCGGGCAGCUGGAGGUCAGGGGAGGGGCUCUCAACUGGAGGUCGGAUGGGCCCUCAGGACCCAGUCCCCAUCCUUCCUCAACACUUGGGCCACUUAGUACUUCAGUGGCCUGGCCAGCAGUGGCUUCUACCAUGACAGCCAGAUAGGGGAGGGAGAGGAGGGCAGGAGAGGGGCAGACGCAGGAGGAGCAGCAAAUCUCACUUCUGCACCACAGGGCGGGGCCCAUCUGGAGUCCGCCAUCCUGGACAGGUAGCUUUGCAUCUCUGCUGAGAGGUUGGGGGGCAGACCAUGUGACCUCCCUUCCUCUGGCUUCUCUUUCUAGGUUGGAGGUGGGAGGAACAACCCCCACCAAACCCAGAGCCGAAAACUGAGGGAGUUUUACAGACAGGACGGAGCUCCUGCACCUCGGAGCCUCAGUUGGGAAUGACCUGGGGUCUUGUCCUGAAGCUGAGUCUGGUGAACGUGCCCCAUUUGUAACAUGAGGGGUACUUCUCUGGAGGGACUGUAUGUUGACAGUGGCAGAGUGGAGCCCUGAAGUCCACCUGAGUGAAUAUACCAGGGCUUGAGAAUGGGCUUUGAUCCUUCCAUCCCCGCAAAAGGCAUUUUCCUACCACCUCCCAAGGCUGAUGGGGCAGUGUGGGCAUUUCAAGUGUUGCAGUUCUGUUGCCCAGCCCUGGAUGCCUCCAGCCAAGCAAGGACAGAGGUGGGGGGCACAUCUCCAAGUCCCCUGGAAGUGGAAGUGGGGCUAUGCCCCUCCUUCCUGAGCCUGAGGACCUGGUAUACCUGGCCUG
RNAcentral lists this long non-coding RNA (992 nucleotides) under Homo sapiens (human). RNAcentral's name for it is "non-protein coding SEMA3B-AS1:7". The record is from RNAcentral. Lineage: Eukaryota; Metazoa; Chordata; Mammalia; Primates; Hominidae.